UNCGAUUGCGAAGGCAGCUUGCUGGACUGUAACUGACGCUGAGGCACGAAAGCGUGGGGAUCAAACNGGAUUAGAUACCCUGGUANNCCACGCCGUAAACGAUGAAUGCUAGCUGUUAGCGAUAUACUGUUAGCGGCACAGAGAAAUCGUUAAGCAUUCCACCUGGGGAGUACGCCGGCAACGGUGAAACUCAAAGGAAUUGACGGGGGCCCGCACAAGCGGAGGAACAUGUGGUUUAAUUCGAUGAUACGCGAGGAACCUUACCUGGGCUUAAAUUGCAGUGGAAUAACGUGGAAACAUGUUAGCCUUCGGGCCGCUGUGAAGGUGCUGCAUGGUUGUCGUCAGCUCGUGCCGUGAGGUGUCGGCUUAAGUGCCAUAACGAGCGCAACCCUCAUCGAUAGUUACUAACAGGUUAAGCUGAGGACUCUAUCGAGACUGCCGACGUAAGUCGUGAGGAAGGUGGGGAUGACGUCAAAUCAGCACGGCCCUUACGUCCAGGGCUACACACGUGUUACAAUGGGGGGUACAAAGGGCAGCUACCUGGCGACAGGAUGCUAAUCUCAAAAACCUCUCUCAGUUCGGAUUGGAGUCUGCAACCCGACUCCAUGAAGCUGGACUCGCUAGUAAUCGCGCAUCAGCCACGGCGCGGUGAAUACGUUCCCGGGCCUUGUACACACCGCCCGUCAAGCCAUGGGAGCCGGGGGGACCUGAAGUAUGCAACCGUAAGGAGCGUCCUAGGGUAAAACUGGUGACUGGGGCU
This 760-nucleotide ribosomal RNA is filed under the name uncultured prokaryote. RNAcentral's name for it is "bacterial SSU rRNA". It matches the Rfam family "Bacterial small subunit ribosomal RNA", at positions 708 to 1482 of the family's 1533-position model. The record is from RNAcentral.